GCUGGGGAUGUGGCUCAGUGAUUAAUGGUAGUGCACCCCUGAAGUCCUUGCUCCUUGGAGGUCUGAGGCCGGAAGAUCACUUGAGCCCAGGAGUUCAAGACCAGUCUGGGAAACAGAGUGAGACCCUGUCUCAA
RNAcentral lists this small RNA (134 nucleotides) under Marmota monax (woodchuck). Lineage: Eukaryota; Metazoa; Chordata; Mammalia; Rodentia; Sciuridae. The record is from RNAcentral.